Molecule: ribosomal RNA, 774 nt
Filed under: uncultured Neocallimastigales
Lineage: Eukaryota; Fungi; Neocallimastigomycota; Neocallimastigomycetes; Neocallimastigales
Description: partial large subunit ribosomal RNA
Rfam family: Eukaryotic large subunit ribosomal RNA
Source: RNAcentral
UAGAGACUCAGAGCUGCAUAUCAAUAAGCGGAGGAAAAGAAACUAACAAGGAUUCCCUUAGUAACGGCGAGUGAAGCGGGAAGAGCUCAAAUUUGAAAUCUUCAAGGUUUUACCUUGACGAAUUGUAGUUUAAAGAAGUGUUUUCUGUUGGAGUUUUGGUAAAAGUUCUUUGGAAUAGGACAUCAUAGAGGGUGAGAAUCCCGUAUUUGACCGUUACUUUCCAGCUGUGUGAUACACUUUCAAAGAGUCGGAUUGUUUGGGAAUGCAGUCCAAAAUGGGUGGUAAAUUUCAUCUAAAGCUAAAUAUUGGCGAGAGACCGAUAGCGAACAAGUACCGUGAGGGAAAGAUGAAAAGAACUUUGAAAAGAGAGUUAAACAGUACGUGAAAUUGUCAAAAGGGAAGCGUUUGACACCAGUGUUGUUUAGUUGAAAAUCAAUUCAAUAAUUUUUGAUUUUAAGUAGUAUUGACUUCAUCAGCUUGCUGCUUUCUUUUCAGGAAUUAUUGAAUGCACUUUUCAGUUAACAAGUCAACAUCAAUUUCUUUUGUUGUAAAAGGGUAUGAGGAAGGUGGCUUUCUUUUCGGAGAAAGUGUUUAUAGCCUUGUGCCUCUGCAAUCGGAGAGAUUGAGGUCUGCAGCGUAGAUCCUUCGGGGUUAGAUACGUUUGUGCUAAGUUAUAGCUUUUCAUAGACAACUUGUUGACUAUGUUAGUCUUGUAGCUUACUCGCUUACUGCUAUUUUACCUACGCUUAGGAUGUUGAUAUGCAUGACUGAUAU